RNAcentral lists this ribosomal RNA (465 nucleotides) under uncultured Klebsiella sp. RNAcentral describes it as "bacterial SSU rRNA". It matches the Rfam family "Bacterial small subunit ribosomal RNA", at positions 338 to 795 of the family's 1533-position model. Lineage: Bacteria; Pseudomonadati; Pseudomonadota; Gammaproteobacteria; Enterobacterales; Enterobacteriaceae. The record is from RNAcentral.
CCUACGGGGGGCUGCAGUGGGGCAUAUUGCACAAUGGGCGCAAGCCUGAUGCAGCCAUGCCGCGUGUGUGAAGAAGGCCUUCGGGUUGUAAAGCACUUUCAGCGGGGAGGAAGGCGUUAAGGUUAAUAACCUUGGCGAUUGACGUUACCCGCAGAAGAAGCACCGGCUAACUCCGUGCCAGCAGCCGCGGUAAUACGGAGGGUGCAAGCGUUAAUCGGAAUUACUGGGCGUAAAGCGCACGCAGGCGGUCUGUCAAGUCUGAUGUGAAAUCCCCGGGCUCAACCUGGGAACUGCAUUCGAAACUGGCAGGCUAGAGUCUUGUAGAGGGGGGUAGAAUUCCAGGUGUAGCGGUGAAAUGCGUAGAGAUCUGGAGGAAUACCGGUGGCGAAGGCGGCCCCCUGGACAAAGACUGACGCUCAGGUGCGAAAGCGUGGGGAGCAAACAGGAUUAGAUACCCGGGUAGUC